CUGCAAUAGGAUGACGUGGUCAAAGGGAAUAAGGCUAUGAUGAUGGGGCAGGGGGAUGCAGGGGCUAGGCGUGGCCCGUGUGGUGUGGGGCGUGGAAAUAGAUAAUGGCAGGUGGCGUACGGGGUAAGGGAAAACUCUGAAAUCGGCUUUUUGUUCUGAUCCCCUUCCCCCCUGUAAAGUCACUGUUACAGAUUCAAUUUGCGCUGGGUACAGAUGGAUGAAUCAUCUGUACCUACAGAUGACUCACUGUUCGUGGCAGGAGGCAAUUGGUUGGAUAUUUAGGGAUAGGGAAGAGAGCUUCCUCCGGAGUACUCCAUGUUCUCCGCCGCCGCCUUCAGAUUAGGAGACCGAUAGUGCGGUAGAGCAGCUCUUGUGAAGGACUGAGCUCAUGAUUUAUGUGACUGAAAUGGGUGGAGAAUGAUGAAGAAAGGUUUAGAAGAAGGGAGAAAAAAAUGGAAUGUGUGAAUGAAUAUGAGGGAAAGGAAGAAGAAAAAGAAGUUGAAGGACAGCUAGGAAAUUGGAAAGGAAUGCAGAAGCAAGGAGGUGAAAAGCUCGAGCUCUGCCGUUGUCCAUUCCGCAUCGUCGACACCCGACGAUGGUGUCGGCAUCUGUUAGAAGAGGAGUAGAGUCAGAAAGGUAAGUUAAAAAUAUUCUCUCUCCAUCCUCUUGAUUUUUUGUGCAUUUUUCUUCAACCGUCGGAUAUCAUUUGGUCACUAUCAGCCGUCCGAUUGAAUCAUCUAUAGGUACAGAUGAUUCAACCUUCUGUACCCAGCUUAAAUUGUUACAGAUUAUUAUGGGCAUGGGGGAUGAUUUUGACUUACUUUGCAAGUUGCAUUGGCAAUGUCGAGGAAACUUCAAUAAUAACCUCUUUUUAAUGAUUUUGUCACUUCUCCCUCGCACACUUUCUACGUGUGUUUUCAUUUUUGUUCUUGUUCAAGGUCGGGGCCUCAACUAGACCCGCGCAUAGUAAAGGGCCUCCACUCUCUAAGUAUGCCCGAACCUCAGUACCGUAGUUGAAAUGCCGACCGAGAAGCACCAAAGCGGCCGUCAUAACUAGGUCGUUUAGAUAGAGUAUUUAGUGGUAUUUCGGGCAAAAUAUUACAUUUGUUAUUCAAUAUAUAAUUGGUAGUAUUUUAACAUGAGAUAUUUCAAAUAGUGAGUUUUGGUGGUAUUUGAAAUAUUUGGGUUGAGGGUGGCAUUUCAAUUAGUGAGUUUUUAUAACAUUCUGUUAUUUGAAAAUUAUCAUGAAUGAGCUAGUUCAAUAAUUCUACUCGAUACUUUAGUCAUAAAAUUUUAGUUCGAGUGGGCUAGCGAUUGAGAAAAGUUAGCUAAACCAUCAAGGUUAAAAUCAAUCAUGUUCUUGAGCCACUGAUUUAAUAUUUAUCGAUGCAACUUGUGAGCUAUUUGAACCGAAACGACACAAGAGUUGUUUAAAAAUCAAACAAAUACAUGCAUGAGCUAUAAACUCGCCAACCUAGCUAACUUUAAGGAUAUGCUCGAACUAGACAUCGUUGCUUUCAUAGUGAAAAGAAAAAAACAAAGAUUAAAUCAAGCGGCUAGCACAAGUUGGAUCCAAAUGUGCAGUACAGCUGGGCAAGGACGAGUACUUUAGAAUUUCUGUGAUUAAUUUACUAGGCCUGUCUCCAAAAACGAAUGGCCUGGAUGUGACGAACUCAACUCUAUAGGGCCGAUUUGGGGAACCUCGACUAGGUACGAAUCUAUCUCCGAGUUUGAUCUUCAAUGCCAUAUAUAUAUGGCUCAGUAUAUUUCGAAUUUUAUACAAUUUAAUGUAAGAUGUUAUAUUAUUUUGGAUCCAUAGCUGUCGAUUUCAAGAAGGAGAUUUAAUGUUAUAUUAGCUGGCAAUAUUAUUUAAGUGACGUUUUGUCUAAUUAUGGUUUUGUCAGGCUCCACGCGAGUCAGCAAAACCCAUCCCAGUUUGACUUUCCACACUGUGCAUAGGUUCUUUUCUCAUGUGUUGUUAGGAACAGUACGUAAGAUCUUUGGCAACCCUGUCAGCCCGCAAGUUGGACGCUCGAUGAAUGAAAUGGAACGAGA
RNAcentral lists this long non-coding RNA (2055 nucleotides) under Linum usitatissimum (flax). RNAcentral's name for it is "long non-coding RNA (LUSI_LNC007006)". The record is from RNAcentral. Lineage: Eukaryota; Viridiplantae; Streptophyta; Magnoliopsida; Malpighiales; Linaceae.